Molecule: long non-coding RNA, 903 nt
Organism: Rosa rugosa (rugosa rose)
Lineage: Eukaryota; Viridiplantae; Streptophyta; Magnoliopsida; Rosales; Rosaceae
Exons: 2
Source: RefSeq, a predicted model, not a curated record
CACCGCUUCACCACCACUUCACAAAGCGUUCACUAACUGUUUUUUAUUUGAACAUCAGUCUAGCCUUUUCGCUUCAAAGAUUUUAUUCUCGCGUCGUUGUGUCUCCACCGCCAAGCUCCAGAGAUCAAUUUCAGAGUGUUUACAGAGGCGAAACACCAAGGGUGAGGCUUUGUAUUUCUUUGCUUGGCAUUGUGAACUGGUAGUUUAGGAUUUGUAUUUCUUUUUGGAAGUGGUGGUGGAAAAGUUUUGAUACGGUGGAAAGAGAAAAGCAAGGCAGCAAGGGAGGCAUUUUAUGUGAUGGGUUUUGCUGCGUUUGGAGGAAGAGAAUGUACUGCACAGGUUGUCAUAUCGGAAUUCGGCCGUUCAUGAACGACCCCAUGUUCCAAUAUUUAAAACCCCAGCAGCCGUGUUGCAUUAAGACGUCGGCCGUUCAUGAACGACCAUGUUAGUCUUAAUCCAAGAGGAGAUUGCUCGGCCGUUCUUGAACGACCAUGGUUGUCUCAAAAGGGUGUUGGUUGUUCAUGAACAGCCCCCUUUUGCCUUGAAGAAAAACUGUUAAUUCCCUGCCGAAACAAGCAAGAGCAGCAUGAUGCAGUGUAUACCUGAACUUCUCCCUUCGAGCUGCUUCGAUUUCGCUCUCUGUUUUGGCAGAGUCUUGGCUUCUUGUUUUCUGAAUAUUUUUCUCCUCUCUCUCUCCGUCUGUCUUUCUUUUCACGUUAUUGUCCUUUUAUAAUAGUAUAGCUGCUCCUCAGAUAACUUUGCUUUCCGCAGGACUAGUAACUUUGAAAUUUGAAUGACAAACUUUGAAUUUUGGAUAACAAGCUUAUCUUGUAUUUUGACCAGCAACAAUCUCGAGUUUGCUUCACGUUUGAAGUCUUUUUCAAAGCUAAUAGACUUUGAGUA